UUUUUUUUUUUUUUUUUUUUUGGGUUUUUUUUUUUUUUGGGGGGGGGGGGGGGGGUGUUGUUGAUUGGAGGAGCGCUGAUAGAACAUGGAAUUGACGAGUGUAAUAAGCGAUUAAUAAAGUGUAUGGCUAUAAAAAAAAACUCAGGCAAAGGAAGAUAGCAGACGAUCAACAAAAAUAUGUUACCCCUGACCCAUAUGAAAGUACGAGAGAGUCUAAACUCUCAUGCUUGAAAGCAAAAAAAUUCAGUACAGAAGUGUGAAAGAAGUACAAGCAAGAAGUGCCAAGAAAACAGAUUUGCUAGUUACAGAGCUUGGCAUUCUGCCGUUGUCCUUUCUAAAGAAAAGAGCAUCAAACAAAGGUAAAUUGAUUACAAUGAAAGCCCCGCAAAGAAGAAUCUGCAAAGCCAUGGUUUCCCAAAGAAAGCUGAGAGAUAAAUUGGCCUUCAGUUUCAUUAGUAUUCCUGUCAAGCAAAACAGGUUGAGCAGUGCCAAUGUCGAUAUAAUGAUAAACAUUGGUGACGUGGUUCCAAACUCCAAUAUCUCUUCCCCGUAUCUCUUGGAGGCAUCCUCAUCAGAGACUUUGCUUGAGAUGACAAAUUUCAGGUCAGAAAAGCCUAGCAACUUUAAGAUUGUAUCCACAAAGGCUAACAGGUAAGAGCUGGUUCUUUUGUAAAGCCACAUUCUCUGUUCAUUCCACCAGCCCAGAAAUGUUCCGCCUGACAAAAGAAACUCAACAGCACUGUAUAUGUGCUCCGCGAUGAUAACAUAAGCAAAUGGAAGAAACCAUACGCUUGAGACCUGGAUUCGAAAGAAACAUAUCAACCAUCGAUUGAUAUUUGAUACAAAUUAAGGAAAAAAAGGGUAAGGGGCCGGUUGACUAUAAUAGUACGUGUAAAAAUUAGAGAACUAUGUACCUGUGGAAAUAAGGGAAUGCCUUUGAGUAGAUGAAGGGAAGGGAUGAUGGAGUAAUACAAUACCGCCACGCAAUUAGGAGACCAUAAACAGUAAAUUAAGUACCCCAUUGUAAGGCCAAUGUGAAUCCUUCCCAGUCCAUACCAUGCUGGACUGUACUUUGAAAGCAGAAUUUGUAGAUCACCCUCAGACCAUCUCUUUUGCUGCACAAGUAUCUGAUCCAAUGUCGUCCCUGCAACACCCAAAAAUGCUGGCCUUUCUGGAUUAGGAUAGACUGAUUUCCAUCCUUGGCAUUGAAUGGACAAACCAGUUAUCACGUCUUCAACUGGACACCCAUACUUUAAACCCAUCUGUAUGCCAAAAUAGUUGCUAGUGUCAUAAUAAUGAAUUUGACAACACAACAAAAUUAAUAAUGUGGAUAUGUGUAAGAACAAGACCUCAUGCCCCCAUUCAGUAUUUUGCUCGUAUGUACAGCUUGCCAGGCUCUUAAGUCUUUCUUCCAGUUCAUGCACAUUGCCCAUCUUGCACUCAUUCUGUGUCUUCAAAUCAAUCUUAUAACACUUGCUGUACUUUCUUCCACUCAGGAUUUCUCUUCUCUGAAAGCAUCCACUUCCAAUAUAUGGUGGACCUCCAAAGGCAUCCAAACCGUGGAAUUCCACCUUAAUUACAGAACCAGGGUCUUUUUAAGAUAUUGAAGCAUAACAUGGACUGACUAUACUGGUCAAGUAUGACAGAGUUUAUAAGUAAAUUAUCUACCUCUAUAGUAGCUUAAGAAUUCACGCAAUGGGGUAAUGAAACAAUAGGCAAGGUUAAUGUACACAAGCAAGAACUUCUAUGUUAUUCUACUCACCUCUCUACCCGCUGUCAUUGAGUUAGCGUACAAAUCAUUCUUAGUAAUGUUCUUGAAGAUCUGUGGAAACUGGACGUAAGCAAACUCGUGGCCUUUUUCCUCAUCCAUCAAGAAACAAAGAGCAUCUCGUAUUGAUUGUGAAUCAUUUGAGUACAUAUCACAGUCCACAUUUAGGAUCACUGGUCCAUUGCUGAUCUCGGACGACACCCUUAUCUGCAUUAAGCACAAAGUGUCUAUAAAUAUCUCACACGGGAUUAAUAUUCUAAAAAUCUUUUGGGUAUCUCAUAGGAGACAUGAGGGUAAAAAAUUAGAAAACUUAUGGAGAAGGAUUUUCAAGUCUAAAAUAGUUAUUGAAACCAACCCAGCAGAAGGACCGGGUUGGCGGAUCAGUGGUUCAACUGGCAGGUCAUUGAUUGAACCGUCGGAUCAAACUAUAUAAUAAAACAAUAUACAAUAUAAUUAAAUAAACACAUAAAUUAUAAUAAAAUUACAAAAAUUCUUAAAUAUUAACAAGUCAUAACCUAUUCAUAUUUCAUAGUUCAUACACACAAGCCAUACUCAUAUGUGUUUCUUAGUUCAUGAAUUCAUAUUGAUAUUAUAUACAAACAUAAAUGAUAAAUCUAAGUGUCAAAAAAAGAAAGAAACCCUAAUUCCCAAAUCCCUUUUCAGUUUUUCUCAUCUAACUGUCAAAAAGACGACAAUGACUAUGUUGAUGUGACUGGUCAAAUUAAAUAAUUAGAUAAAAGAUAAUUUCAUAAAAAUUUUUAAAACCCGCCGGGUAUAACGGAUCACAAGUUCGAUCGUUCGCACAAAACGGUUUAAAACGAGUCAUCUGCAACCAUGAUCCAGUUGCUAAACCGGAACGGUUCCAUGAUCGGUUCACCGGUUUGAUCGGUUCAACUUCCGGGCUGGUUUAAUAACUAUAUGUCUAAUAGAUUUGAUUCGUUCAUUAAGACCAAGAAGUGUAUCAAGUAAUCGAGUUACCAAAGCAUUCAUUGCUCCAGCUUUGAAGUUGUGAAAAUGCUCGGGUCGCUUCUCCCUAGCCAAGUACACUAGUGUAGGCAAUUUACAUCCUGCAACAUCCCUUGCUUCUGGGUCGCUUCCAUUAACGAGAAUCUGAUGAAACAAAAUAAGCACCUCUCAGCCAAAUAAGAAGUAGAAAAUGUGUUGCUUUAUUGAUCUGAGUAGACUGUGUAGUCGUAUAACGUAGAACCGAGGUUGUCCUGGCUGGAAAACCAAAAAGAGGGAAAAAAAUGCAAAUGUCUCCUUUGUAAUCUGAUCAUUUUAAUUGGGACGGUUAGUAUGAGUUCUACAUACCUGCAGGAUGGUAUCAUGAUUCCCCCGAGAUGAAGAUGAAUCCCACAUAGCAAAGCCUUUGUGUUCUGAUUUAUCGGGUAUUUGUCCUAGUUUGUUUGCAAGCAGAACCUUGUUCUCCAGUUGUUCAUAUAAUUUCUGCAAUUUCAUCAGCACAAAAUAAGAAGGCUAAUUAACUGAUGAGUUCCAAAUUAAUAGUGUCAGGCAUGCUGAAGAGCAAUAUAUCGGUAAUGCAGCAUAACUGCAUGAACAGUCUCAUGGCAACCAUGAGACACAACUAGAGAUUUUUUUUUUUUUUUGGACGGGGCUUACAUCUGCAUCUUGUGUCUUAUGUUUUGUUAUCAAUUGGCUCUUUAAUAGCUAUAUCAUGUCAUCAAUAUCAUAACUAAGGGAACUAAGUUGGUUGUGAUUGAGUAUAACUUCCAUCUGGACUUCCAUAUGAUCCAAGGUACCCCUAUAUAUGAUAGGAUUAUCAUUUUUUUUUCCUGUGGUUAGAUCAUUAUAUAUGCUGUGGCUGCCUAAUACUCCAACAAUGAAAUUGAUGUGUCGAAGCUCCUAAGGAAAUAAAUAUGAGGCAGGCCUAAUUGCAUUAUUGCAGUUGAAAGUAAAUUAUAUGAGCCCUGUGGACUUGAUUUUCCAGGUAGUCAUUGUCAAUGGUUCAAGGACGAAUAUGUUUCUUACCAAAUUCAAAUCUUUUUUGGACUUCUUUCAUUAUAAAAUUUAUUAGGACAAACAAUCUUGGUAGCUAGCUCGCUUGCUUUAUAUAUUUAUGAAAAAGUUGAACUUUCUUUUCAGCAUCAAGAAAACUGCAGUAUUUCAGGAUAUAUUAUCCUCAACUUGUCCACUGCCGUACUUAAUUGACCCAAACUAAUCAAUUGAAAAUCGAUAUGAAACUUAGCUUUUCUAUUUCUAGGUGAGAGAGACAUGGUUUCAAUGCAGAGCGGCCAAAUAGUUUUCCUCAGAAGUCAGAACUAGUUUGGUGCAUUUACCUUGAUUGAUGCAAAGUCUUUGGUAUGGUUUGCAUCCAAAAUUCGGGGAUCUGAUUCAAAGUAAGCUGCAGGAGACCUUGGCUCCACCUUGUAUUUCUUGCAAUAUGGUAGCCAAUGCUUAGAGAAAUAGGAAGCCUCCAGGAGUGCAUGGAAGGUAAGCUCCGAGCCACCAUCAUCAGAGAGAUAAACGCUGAGUUUCUCUGUUGGAUAAUCAUAUGCCAUUACAGACAAAACAGUAUUGAUCACCAUGAUUGGUGGCUCAACAGCAGGAUCAGCUGUGCAAACAAAUAUGUCCACUUUAGGCAGCUCAUUCUCGAACCUGCAAAGCACAUAGAAAAAACUCUGAAAUCCCACAAGACAGAACAUUCAAGACUCUAAAUUUUAGCGGUAUGUGAUCAUUGACGAAUCGACAAUCAUAAGAGUUUGAAGAACAAUGGGAACAAGAAGCCAAACCAAAAGCAUAGAGGAAGGAGCCAUCACCUACGGGAUAGCCUGUCGGUAAAGGUACGACGAUAUACAAGACUCCAGCGGACGGAUUGAGUGAUGAACCAGUAAAGGCCAAACCAAAUUUCAGCUCCAAACAUUCCAAUCCAAGCCCAUCUCCCAUCUUCUUGGGAUCUUGGGAUGUGACUUGCUCUAUAAAUCCAAAUCAAGAUAAUCCCAACAAAUAUGGAAGUAGCAAACAGUCUAUGAACUAUCCUACCCUUCGCCUUCUCCGUCUCAAAAAGAGGAAUAUACUCACUUUUACCAGUACCGCCACUUCCCAUUUCUGUUGUUUUCAAUAUCUCUUUCUUCACUGGUUUUUCGAACUUUCAGCUCUAUAUAUGUAGCAUACAUUAAGUUUCUAAUACCGCAGUAUUGGGCAGGCCGGGAGUUUUCAAAUAUUUAAUUAAAGCGCAGAGAGCCAUUUGAAUUCUUUGCCAUUAUAUGGAACUACUAUUUAUAUUACGCAGUUUUAUAAGACAGGAACAACCGCACACAGUUGACGAAGGCUGCUGGUGGGUUCCACUCCUACUGUAGCCUACUUUAGGGGACCCAUUGCCAGCAAUUAUUGCAGUGUACGUUACGUAAUGGAAUGCGCUAUAAGAGCUUGGGCUUGGGGAUGGCUGCCGGUGCCUGCCACAUAUAAAUCACUAGUGUACACGACUGGGGAGAGAAUGAAUUUGAUUGGAUUAGGAGUUAGGACACGAGUGGAUAAAAACCUGCAUGGCCUGAGACCGAUCCUCUGUGCCACUGUUCGGUGUCAAUCUCAUUUAUCACGUGAUAGUAGAAGAAAUUUAAAUAAACAGCACAUGACAAAUUAAAUAAAUAAGAUACUUGACAUAAAUAUAGAAGUGACAUUGAAUUAUCACCGGAAAAGUGACACUGAAGAUCCCGUGUGGAGACCUGACUCCCUGAUUAAACAAAAUUGUUGGUAUGAUUUAUUGUGAAAUUAUCAGUAUCAACAGGCACAAACAAUUUUGUUAUAGGAGUACAGUAUUUUAAAUUAAGGGUUUUUAUAACGAGUGUUGAUGAGCACUCUUUCAGAUACUUGUAUGACAUUUAAAUUCCCAUAUGUAAACACACACUCCAGACUAAGUUAGGUUCCUCUCCGUUAUACCCAAAUAAAUAUAAUCAUUUUAUUAUUUUUAAAAAUUAAGAACAUCCAUAUUAUACUUCUCUAGCUGUCUAAAGUAUGUACAAAAAUUGAAAUUAAGUUAGUUAAAUUUUAUGUUGGAUCAAAUUUUACAACUUUCAUCGUAACUUUAACCUGUUUUGCCCCGUCAAAAUGUUUUGUGCAAAUUGAAAAGCAAAACAUUCAUAAAAGAAUUUGAUUUUUGAGUAUGUUGAUUUAAUUGUGGAAAUAAAAUUACUAACACAAACAGGUUAUUGUGAAAAAUUCAAUUGUAUAAAUAUAAAAAAAAAAUGUAUAUAGAUAAAUGGAGAGAAAAAUAAUGGAGCGCUUAAAUUGUGACACUUUCUCGAAUUAACUUUCUCUUAUCGGAGUGCCUUAUGGGCGCAGGUUAGCCGAACCAUAAUUUAAAUUUUGAUAAGUAUUGUUAUAAUCAAAUACUCCUAUGUAAGUUAUCCGAAGAGAAAGCAAGUGGAUCCUUUUAAUGUACUAAAUUUUAACGUUUAGACAAAGGUACAAAAACAUCAAGAUAACGAGUUUAAUUCCUAUUCUUCUUUAAAAUUUUUUGAAAACCUUUAAAAUUAUUAAGUGUGGAGUAUUUGUUCGAUUUAUUCUGAUUUGAGUAAUCUUUGAGAUUGCUGGACUCAUUUACUGCCCAAUGUCAGGACGCUGUGAUGAAUCACCUCAUGGUUACUUUGCUUCACACUAACUUAUACACAUCAUCAAAUUCGCAGGCACACAUCCUACUAUAAACUCAGUAGUGUGAAAUUUUCUGUUACCUUUUUUAUCUUUUCCUUUCUCCAUUUUCUAAACACGGAGUUUUCUACCCCUUUUUGCAAGUGUUCUUAAAAUAUCUUCUUCGAGGUUUUUAUCAGAUAAGCACUUGUUCCGGAUUCGAAUUAACGAUCUGCUUCAUAAUUCCUUCCAUCCUUAAAAACGUUUAUCCGUCGCAUAUAUUUCCGCCACAAAUUCCCUCUGCAUCCUUUUGGUAGACCUACGUUCACGACCUGUAUAUACUAUCGCUUGACAAGCCAUGAUACAAAUCGCAAAGUUGAUGACUUUUUCUCGUCUUUUUUGCUACAGCCGAUACACACGCAGUUCUUACGAUAUCACAUUUUUAUUAGAACAAAAUUUUUUAUUCUUACCAUAAUAAACCAAUGCAAGAAUUAUUUGCGUUGCACAUCACAUCAUCUGCAUUCCCCAUCUCAAAGGCCCAAACGUAUUUGGAUUAUAUCUACCACAGAGGCCCCAGUUGACUAGUCUUUGUCUAACAGAGCGUCGCAGUCCACUUUUUUUUUUUUUUUUUUUUUGUUACUUUUCAUCAUAGACUAUUGAAGUGAGGCCGAAAGUCCAACCAAUGACUUAUUCCUCAGGCUCAGGUCUCGGUAUGCAUUUUUGGAGGAUGGCGUCAUGCUCAAAAUUUUCCCGUUUCAAUGCAAAUUGCUCAACCUUGCCCCUUUCGUCAAAUCCUAACAACUGAAGUGGGGUGUUUAAACAGAGUAUUAUUUGAAAUAAUUAAUAUAAUAUUUUUUUUUAUAAUGUAACAUAUGUAAAAUAAAAAAAAUAUUAAAAAUAUAAAAUAUAUAAAUUAUAAAAUAUAUUUAUGAUGCAAACGAAAUAUUAUUUUAUAAAAUUGAGAUAUUCGAAUACAUAGUAUCCGCUAAUACACUUUAAUUCAACUAGUAAAAAUAGAUCACUACUUAACAAAACAUCAUUGGGUAAUUCCAUUUUGUCCCCUCAAACUAUACACGGAAUCUCACUUGAAUCCCUGAACUUUAAAAUUGGACAUUUAAGUCCCUAAACUACAAAAUCUAACCCACUUAAAUAAAAUCCGUGACGGAAUCCAAAAAAUUGACAGUAGCUCAAGGAUGUGGGGGGCACGCUCCAUUAGUGUGUAUGUGUAAUUGUCAUAAACCAAAAAAGUAGGGAUAUAAAGGUAUUUUCACACUUUUUUUUUCAUUUUUUCUUUUUCCUAUUCUUCUUCAUCCCUUAUCUGCCGCCACUGACAUCUCCAGUCCUAUGCUUUUGUUCAAUGGCCUCCAAGCAUUUUUCAUCUUUCAUUUACCAAUCCAAAACUGUUUCAGUCAAAUCCCACUUCAUAUUCCAAAUCUUCAACCGUAUUCUAAAAAUCGUCGAAGUCUCACAAAAAACGUGUCUAAUCUGACCACUAAAUUUCUUGUCAAAUUCACUUCCAUGAAAUUCCUUUUUGUUGAAUUCGAAUUGUUCUUGGGGCGGCUGUGAUUUCUGCGAGAUCUGCAGUAGUACUCCUAAGGGACUGGUGGUGAAGUGGAAGAUAGACUUAGCAUUUGCUAGCGUCAUCCUGCUAUUUACAAGAACCCUGCUUCAUUUCUUACCAGAAUCCCACGAAAAUGUUGUGGUCAAAGACUCCAAGAAGCAAGGUGGGUGUAACGACCCCACCUCCCCCUAAGGCGUACCAAAGGGUUCGGCGGACCGCCUGCCCAGCUCUCGCCAGGACUCACUCACUAUCUCAAUCGAGUCAUGUACACACAUCCAUAAACUAUAAAUAACAUUCACAAUUCAAGCUUAUAAUUUACAUUGAUAGAAAUCGAGGUACAAAGUCUCAAUACACCAAACUAGUUCAAAACGUAUACAAUCCAAGUACAACAUGUUCCAUUCGAGGAAUAGCGCGAGUACAAGACCAAAAGUCAAAAGUCAAAACAAAAGGCUACGCUAGUCUUUUACAAGUCUCACGCGUCACUCGUACCCCCUGUAAGGAAAACAAAUAGCGUGGUAUGAGCUAAAAGCCCAGUGAGGUUCCAAAUAGCAAAUUGACCAUUAUUUAUAAGUACAAGUUUUCGAUAUAGGAAAGUAACGAGCAUGAAGAAUUCAUAAAAGUGAGCAAUCUCAAAAUGAGCGAGUGUAAAAGUUUUCAGAAGACACUAUAAUCCAAUAAACAAUAAUCAUUCCAAAGCAUAAGGAUACAGAUGGCUCUCAGGAGCCAACUUCCAUUCAUCAUCAGGAGCUUGAUCACAUAGUAGUUGACACUCCGUCAACUUUCAAGUAAAGGAACCAAUCCAGUAGAACACCACUUACACUACUCUCCGUCCACCAUUCACACCCCCUACUGGGCCCAAAAUCCUCAAUAAACACGGGUGGUAAUACUCGAGUAUACCGUUUAGUCGAGGAGAUAUCACUCCACUCGACAAAGCAAGAGACCCAGGGCUCGUUACCCAAUCGACCAAGCCCUUGCCGACCCGACUAGAGUAACUCGCCACAGGGUGUCUGGAAUUCCAGGAAGUGCGCGCAUCAUAACAAGUAUGUCAAGUCAAUUGCAACAAUAAACAAGUGUAUAUCAUGUAAGGGCAAGUGCGAUAAAGUACACUCUUGCCCUAACAAUUCACGCAUGUGACAUGUAAUCAUAUUGGCACGUAUCAAGCACAAGUAUCAAGUUCAAUUCAGUAUUUGAAAGCACUCACCAAAAGAUAUAGUGCUUUUACUGGUCACUUUCAGGUUAUACUCCGAGUUCGGAGUCCAAAUCUGCGAUAAAACUCAAUUUGAGAACUUUGAAACAUGACUAGAGUUCGAAACUUAGACGUUUCGUUCAAUAAGAAUCAAGAAAUUGAAAUUCACUCGGACAGUAGUCAUGAAACACUUGCUCGCUUUUUAAACGAUAAAAUUUUGUAACAUUUAUACUUGAAAUUGUCAUGUGAGUCGAGAGUACAAGGAAAACGUACUUCGAGCAAUCAUUAUUUCAUUUCCCAAGGGUACAAGUUUAGUCAAGUCCUAACGUUUAACACUCAAGAAACAUAAUAGCCAAAGUCCUCGCUAGUUCAAGUAUUAAGUACUUAACCUUCACCCAAGUCGAAAAUAUAGCAUUCUAGCCCUCGAGUAAAAAUUCGGGCAGCAUGCCCUUUGUGUUUACCUAAUUUUCCAGCCAUUUAGGCUUCAUUGUUUUUCUCAAACACAACCCAACAUCAUACAUAUUAGCAAUUUAUGUCAAGAGCCGUUCCAUAGGCUCACAAUAUCGUAAUAACAAGAAUUACAAUGAUAACAAAUGCAGAAAUUCAACUUAGCACAAGACAGAUUUGACGUACGAAUGCGGAAAUAACUUAUCCGAGGCUACGCUUAUCGGAUUAAGACGCAACCUAUGCCGUUUCGAACCUAAGAUACAGAGCUACAAUGUUCAUGAAGGUCACUUAGUCCAGUUUCUAAUGUAACUUGGUCAAAUUCUCGAAUUACUAAACCAGAAACCAAUUCGUCGGCUGUUUAAACGCAGAACACUGUAAUGGUCAUAACUCAGUGUACACAAAUCCGAAUCAGGUGUUCUUAGAGGCAUUUUAAAGAUAAUUCAGAACACUACAACUUUCAUGUUUUGGCCCAGAGCUAAAUCAGAAUGGAUCCUGGUCAAAAAUCGUGAUAAACUAGACUGAACUGAAGAAACGGACUGCUGGGAAAUACUUAAAACAGUAGGGGUAUUUUGGACUUUUCACGUUCUGCGUUGCUCCGAUUGAGCUAAAAUUUUGUAGGCACCUAUAAAAUGCCAUUCUAUACAACUUUUCUUCUUUGACCUAAGGCCAAAUCAGCCUCUAACAUACAGAUAAAAAUUCGGACAGAAUGUUGAGACAAUUUUCCAGAUUUUGGAAUUUUUGAGUUUCUAUUGCAACUUUCCUUAAUUUCUUGGUCCAAUCACUACCAAAACACCAUAUAACACCUCAAUUGCAACAUAUAAGCAUCAUAUAAUAAAUUGGGGCAGAAUUUCCACAAGCCCUAGUUCAUCAAAUAAAUUGGGGAAAACUACUAAAACAUGCUCAUCAUUCAUAAUCUCACCAUAAAAUCAAGUUACUAAGCUUAAUUAAACAAGAUUAGAAGUGAAACUUGGAGAGAUAAACUCUCUUACCUUGAAUAAAAGUCACCAAGAGUAGCACAAGCUCUCCCCUUCAAGAAUCACACCACAACUCACUAGCUAGUCACUAGAAAACAAGUUUAAUCGGUUCACUUCGCUCGAUUCCUCACUUAUUUGUUGGAUUUAGAGAUGAAAUGAAAGAUUUUCCCUUGGAGUUUCUCUUCUUGUUGUUCUAGGCCAGCAGCACCCAAAAUGAAGAAGAAAAAUGCUAAGUGUUGGAGUUAAAUGGUUGGGGUUUGUCUUGGGUAAGAAGCCAUGAGGUGGUGACAAGUGUCACCACCACCACCUCUUUUUUUUUCUCUCUUUCUUUCUUGCCUUUCUUGGCCACUAAUUUCGGUCAACCUUGCUGCAAUUUAAGAAGAUAUUAUGUACAAAAGUCAACAAACUUGUUGGGUAAGAAAAAUGGUGGUCAAGCAGUGCGUUCAAUCGGUAAUACGCGGGACCCGCCGGAUCGCGCCGUUUUUCUUAAAAACUCACGUACUAGGUUUUUCACUUCCCAUUCACUAACCUUAUACCAUUGCCACUAGUCACAUCUUAUUUCUCACUUAAAAGUCACUUUUAAUCCCCAAAUUAAUUCUUACUCUGUACCGAAAAUUCAUCCGGUUAAAAUUCGCGAAAACCCUAAUUUCGCUCCAAACUUGAAACCGAAGCGUAAAACCCUAUUUUCUAGGUUUACUUACACUUAGAGUGAAAUAUUUGGGUAGUGGCCUUUGAUAAAUACUAAUUUUCAAAUAAAAGGGUAUUUUGAGGAAAAAUACGAGGAAUUUGCGAGUCCUCACAGUGGGCUUAUUGGUGCUGGUGGCGGUGAGCUAGUUGAUGUCAAGAUAAUUAAGGGAUUUAGUGUCAAAAACUUUUCGGAUGGAAAGGCAGCCAUCAAAUACUGGUAUGAGCCACUUCUUAAGCUGCCAUAAUUUGGAUUUGGGAUGAGGAGGGCUAGUCUGAUAAGGUACAAGCAAUAUUGGGUUGGUGAUGGGUAACGAAGAUGAUGAUCUCUUGGUAGCUAGAGCAGCUUUUCAAGGGGAUGAAGAAAAGGUUUCUGGUGAACCUACAGCAGAAUUGUUAAGCAAGAAGAAUUGUGGAAGAGUCUCUAAAAACACCUCCACUGGAGGUUGCAGGAUUGGAGUUUCCUGGAGGAGAUUCGGAUCUGUCCUGGGUUCUCAUCAAAACUUGCUCCACCAUGUCCUUAUCUGCACUAGCAGACUAGCUCACCUAGUCCAACAUUCUAAAGCUGCAGCCAUGGCUUUUGUACAAGUAGAACUGGAACCAAAAGCCUAAUAGCAUCAGUAUCAUGCCGUAAGCAUAGACAUAUAAGAAUAGAAGCUUUUGAAGAUUGUUAAAGUUUUGUCUUUUGGAGAUAUCUUGAUAAUAGUAGCAAUAGGAUUGGAGCCGUCAGUGGUGGCAGAUGAGGGAAGAAGAAGAAUAGGAAAAAGAAAAAAAAGAAAAAAAAAAAAAGGAAAGAUGAGGGAGAAGGGAGAAAGGGAGUAAAAUUACCUUUAUGUCCCUAUUUUUUUGGUUUAUAACAAUUACACGUAGACACUGAUGGAGCGUCCCCCCCCCACAUCCUUAAGCUACCGUCAAUUUUUUGGAUUCCGUCACGGAUUUUAUUUAAGUGGGUUAGAUUUUGUAGUUUAGAGACUUAAAUGUCCCAUUUUAAAGUUCAGGGAUUCAAAUGAAAUUCCGUGUAUAGUUUGAGGGGACAAAGUGAAAUUAACCCAAAUAUCAUGUAUUCGAAUUUUACUGUCAACGUGAGAAUAAGGGUGUUGUGUUAGUAAUCUAUCCGUUAAAACCCUUACAAGCGACGCAUGGUCUCGGCAAAUAUAUCUUGAUCAAUAAUGAUGAUUCAAACCGUACCUAUCAAACUUUUUAUUAUUCAAAAAUAAAUAAAGUGCGAAACCAAACGCAGCGUGCAACUUUUGACCAUGACAUCCUCCCGUGGGGCAGUUGACAAUGAUUUAUUUUUUUUUUUUUUUUUGGGUCGGCUGAAACUCAUAACCCACUAAACAAAUUCAACAUUGGCAACUCGAUCGGUUGUCAGGCUGCCUUCUGCAUGUUACAGUUUCUCCAUGUUCAUUUUACUACGUUACAUUCCAAGAAUAAACAUUCUUUACGAGCUCAAAAUGUCAAGCUCAAACUCGAGCUCGAAAAUAAAAAAAUAAUUAUUACUUUUAUUUUUAAAAAUAAAAAAUGAUUAUUUUAUUUUUAAAAAUAAAUAAAAUAAUAAUUUUUUUAAUAAAUAGUAAAAUAUUAAAAAUAUAUAUAUGUAAUUUCAUUAUUAAAAUAAAAAAUAUAUAUAUAAUCAAGCUAACGAGCUAAGGAGUUUAAUGUUUUUGAGCUCGACCUAAUUAGCUCAAGCUCAACUUGAGUUCGAUAUUGACCGAUCUCGAUCACGAGCAUAUCAAUUCGUGAACAGCCCUACUCUGAUACACAUGGGGAAAGAAUUUUCACGUCUUACAUUGAUUUGGAAGUAUACAUGAUACACCCAUUGUGCUAGAUAGGUGAUUAUUCAAAAUUUUCAUAUCCAUACAUAUUUAGUAUCAAUUUUUUUUUUGUAAGAAUUUUCACGGCUUACAUUGAUUUGGAAGUAUACAUGAUACACCCAUUGUGCUAGAUAGGUGAUUAUUCAAAAUUUUCAUAUCCAUACAUAUUUAGUAUCAAUUUUUUUUUUGGUUACCAAGGAGAGCUAAGCAGCUCAAUACAUAGAUACUAUGCGGGGUGGUAACCCCCAUGAUAUCCAAAUUCAUCCAUCUCCAAACUACAUUCGGUGGAUUCUGUAAACAAUACAACCCUGGCUCUUUAUUGAGGCUAUCUUUAGCUAAGAAAUCCGCACUAUUGUUUCCUUCUCGCCAAAUAUGCGAACCACUUACCUCCCAUUCCUUGUGUCUCCACUAAUCAAUUUGUUUUAGCAUAUUAGAGUAAGGGCUCAAUUCAGGUGUCUUGUCCAGAAGCAUAGUUGCAGCUUUUGAGUCUGUUUCUAUAAUCACUCUCUUGUGUCAUAUUUAGUAUCAAUUAUCUUCACUGUCUGCUAUGCUAAUCAGCUGGAUAAUAACAGCAGUGUUUGUGAUGCAAGCAAAAUAGCAGCUUAACUACUACUAGUAUUAAGAAAACAACGAUGAUCUUCAGGCUAACACAAACUAAGAACAGGCAAAAUUAGCUAAGACUACAACAUCGUUAACAGGCAAGCACAGACCAUGGGCCUAAUUAGAUUAGCAGCAUCCACAACACAAACAUAUAGUUCCUAGAUUUUACCUCUAGCCUUCUGGUCCCCUCCCUUGAGCAUAAUUUGACAACCAGAUAUGCGUUCAAUUCCAAAGUGUAAGGGAUAGCCCGAUUGAUCAACCCUCAAGUAAGAUCAUUUCAGCACAUACAGGCAAAGAAGAGCCAUGUCCGUCAAGCAGAGCAGUCUGUUCUUGCCCUUUGCAAUAUUAAACCAAGGAAACUAUAUGAACAGCUUUCCCCAACAAAUCUCAAGCAUGAAAUUUAAUCACUAAUGAACCAACACACAUACUCCUAUAAGGAAUUUGUGUUGUAAGAUAUAAAGGACCCAUAAAAAUGAUACACAUGAAUGCAUUAAUCAAUCUAAACAACCAUCAUCCUGAUGACAUAUAAGGCACAAUAAUAUUUUGUAAGAGAACCAAAAUCUGGUGCCAAUGGACUUGCUUACAGAUAACCAACAAGCAAAAAUAAAAUGGUACUACUAAAUACGAAAAAAGUUGAAAGAUGAUCCCCAUUACUAACAAUAAUGGCAAUUUCCAUUAAUGUUUACCAUAAGCUGCAUGAAAUACGCAGCACAAUAUCAGCUACCAAUCCUUACAUUAAAGACCCCCUUAUACAUACACAAGGGAAGCAACCACAAUUUUUACAGUACAAUACGACCCAGGCGAAGACCAUACUUCGCCUUGAGAAUGCACCAUCUUUCACACUCUUAUGUACAACAAACUGGAAAUUUGGUAUAACCCCAAUUCAAGGAACAAAACACCAAACACAAACAGGUUAUCACUAUCUGAAGUCUGAACUAAACCAGCAUGAAAUUCUUCUCUCUUUUUUUAUUAUUCAUUUUCUAUUUCAGAUAAUUCAAUAGCAGCACUCAGGGCAACGAAUCAAGCCGUUCUCAUUGCACUCCGGGCACCGCUUAAGUUGCUCAUCAUCCUCGUCAAAUAUUUUACGACUUCCGCUACAAUUUGAGCAGGGCACGAACCUGGCAUCCCCACAGCCUUCGCAAAUAUACCCUAACCCAGGCUUUACUGCUCGAAUAGGCAAUCCUUUGAGCAUUUUGGCGAGCUCGCCCGCCUCAUUCAGCUGCCUCACAACAUCAGCUCCACCAAUAUACUUCCCCUUGACAAACACCUGAGGUAAACUCACGGUUUUCUCCCCCAAAACGCUCUGUAAUUCCUUCCUGUACGCGUUGUCCAUGGAAAUAUCCCUCUCGUCUAAAUUUAUGCGAAAGCCCUUGAAGAUCAUCCGAACAGCGCAGCAAUCGGCGUAGGUUCUGCGGAUUCCCCGGAGGCUGGUGAAGUAAAUGACAACUCUGUCCUCGGUACCAGGCAGCCGGAAAUGGGGGGGAUCCAAACUUAAGCUUUUCGCGGGUCUGGAAGAGGAGGACAAUGAUGAUGAGGAUAAGGAUGAUGGCUGGGGUGAUAAACUAGGGGAAGAUUGCGACGGGGGUUUUUCGAAGAGGGAACGAAGCUUCUGAACCUUACCCCUCAACGAGUUUCCCGCCGAAGCCAUUGAGCCAAAAGGGGAACUAUACAACUUCUUGACGGAGCCGGUGCGUUCGAGAGGGAGGAGGGGGGUUUUGGUAAAUUCGUACGCUGGGUUUGGGUUGUGCAGCGUUAAGGAUCGGUUGAAUCUGGAGGUAGCUUUAGGAUUUUCAGAGAAAUCAUAUUUCUGAUCAUCAUUGUUGAGAAAGGCCAUAACUACCGAUUGGAAAUGAUGCUCCUUUUUUUUUUUGGGCCUCAAAAGAUAUUAGGGUUCUUCUUUACUAAAUUUUACCCCAAAAAUAAAAAAAAAAAAGGGCAAAGAUCGAUGAUAUCGAUCGCUAAUCGAGAAAAUUUAAGAAAGAAAGAAAGAAAAAAACAAAAGAAUGAUAUAAGACCAACCAAGGUCGGAUUGUUGCUGGAGAAAGGCGGAGGAGGAGGUGAGAGGUGAGAGGUGGCGGAGAUGGGCGGUGUUUGAUGUUUUUUCAGCUUUCGGUCUAUUUGUUGGUGAAAUGAUGGAAGGUAGAGAAAAGGUGUACUUUUCUGAAAGAGGCGUGGAAACAAAGUAAUUCUAUAGAUACAGAAAUUAAAAUAAAAAUGAAAAAAUCGAUUACUUUUCCAAGAUGGAAACAUAAUACAUUCCACUGCAGACAAUUGACCCAUUCGGGCCACAUGCAUUAUGUAUCCGAAUCGUCUCGUGCAGACAAGUCCGGUAAUAAGGAGGCUGUUGGUGAGUUGGCUUUAACAAGUCCGAACUCGGCCCAUUUAGUACUUGACCUUUUAAAAAAAAAAAACCACAUAGGGAGAGUCGCCCGUAAGAUUUAUGAGCCCAAUGUAUCCCAUCAAGACUCGCAACGGUUGAGUACAGUCCAAGCUCACAAAAAGUAGGAUUAUUUCAGAUGGAGACAAUUUCAGAUUAGGAUUACAAAAAUAAAUGUCAAUGCGAGAAAGACCAAGGGGAAACACAAACUCGAAUUGGAAACAGGCAAAUUUGUGAAGGGAUUUAUUUUUUAGGUAAAGCAAAAUAGCUUCUUCUUUCAUCAGUACAAUUAGUACUGCUAUAGAUCUUCACCAAAUUGGCAAGAAACACAACCAAUAUUUUUUACGUUUUAUUAAAGGAGUUUGGAGAUUUUCUAAUGAAAUUUUCAGUGACAAACUUUCGUUCCGCGCGAAUACAAUAUAUAUAUAUAUAUCAAGUAAUUGGCUUCAUGAUGUUCUUAAGAUAAGUUCCCCCAUUAAAUCCCCACAAUGACCAGACCGAGAAAAAAUAAAGAGAAAAAGGAGUACAGCUUUAGAGAAAUUGAAAAAGAUUGUUUUUCUAUCCUUUGUUUUUCGAUAUCAGAGAAUAGUACAAUACAUUUUCUUAUAAACUAAAAAAAAGGAGAGAUAGAGAGAGGGAGACGAAGAACUGAAUAAGCAUCUACGAUCAACUACCUGAUUGUAUUCAGCAGCCAUAGAGAAUUUAGGCUCAAUAAUUGAUUCAUCAAGAAAUUUCGCAGCUGAGUUACCACCCAAGGCUGAAUUCAUUCUCUGCGGAAUGUUCAAUUCCACAGAGGGCCUCUAAUUAUUACAAACUUGAGCUAGUAAAUAGGCAUCAAAGAUGCAAGUGAGACGAUCAUAACAGAUUUCCACAAGACAGAAGAUGGCAUGCGACCCUUGUCAGUGCGGAAGAAGAGUGCUUGGUA
Molecule: long non-coding RNA, 16920 nt
Filed under: Coffea arabica (coffee)
Lineage: Eukaryota; Viridiplantae; Streptophyta; Magnoliopsida; Gentianales; Rubiaceae
Description: long non-coding RNA (CARA_LNC003919)
Source: RNAcentral